RNAcentral lists this ribosomal RNA (253 nucleotides) under uncultured bacterium. RNAcentral describes it as "partial 16S ribosomal RNA". It matches the Rfam family "Bacterial small subunit ribosomal RNA", at positions 527 to 779 of the family's 1533-position model. The record is from RNAcentral.
CGGAGGGGCUAGCGUUGUUCGGAAUUACUGGGCGUAAAGCGCACGUAGGCGGCUUUGUAAGUUAGAGGUGAAAGCCCGGGGCUCAACUCCGGAACUGCCUUUAAGACUGCAUCGCUUGAAUCAUGGAGAGGUUAGUGGAAUUCCGAGUGUAGAGGUGAAAUUCGUAGAUAUUCGGAAGAACACCAGUGGCGAAGGCGACUAACUGGACAUGUAUUGACGCUGAGGUGCGAAAGCGUGGGGAGCAAACAGGAUU